Molecule: small nuclear RNA, 106 nt
Filed under: Chinchilla lanigera (long-tailed chinchilla)
Lineage: Eukaryota; Metazoa; Chordata; Mammalia; Rodentia; Chinchillidae
Source: RNAcentral
GUGCUCACUCUGGCAGCUCAUAUAUUAAAGUUGGAAGGAUACAGAGAAGAUUAGCAUGGCCCCUGUCGAGGAUGACACGCAAAUUCGUGAAGGGUUACAUACUUUA